GGAGGAUUUAUGAGCAGAAGAAGCAUCUCACGGGCAGCUUGGAUUUCCAUCUUCUAUCCCAUGAAAAGGUGGGAUAAUCAUGGCAAAACAGUUGUGCUCUUCUGAAUAUACAAAUGAGAGAUAAGACUGCCAGCUUAUUCUAGAGACAGUAGUGGGGAAUGAAACUACAUUGCCUGGAGAAGAAUCUUCACCAAGGAAAUAGACCAACUUGAACAGGAAACUUCAGACAAAUGGACAACAAUAAAAUAACUUUCAUUUUGGGAAUAAUCUGGAAAAGCUUCUUUAAAACGCAUAAAUUCUGCCAAGUUUGAGAAAAUAAACUCAUAAAAAUCGUGAAACAAUGUAAGGAAUCAAUCAAGGCAUAGCUGAUGCCAAAUCAGCCAACAUCUGCUACAGAAAGCACACACCUCCUCUUACGGCAGACGUUUGUCAUCUCCAGCUUUACACAGCGUGAGAAGACUGGAUAUCAGGGCAUGGCGUAUGGAGUGGCAGAGAAAAAUGGUUUCCUUCUUUAUGUAUGUUAAAAGUGCCUGAGGAGGAAAAGUACAGCUGUAAUAUCUUUGAACAAUUUUUAAUUAUUUAAUCAAAA
Molecule: long non-coding RNA, 589 nt
Organism: Hemicordylus capensis (graceful crag lizard)
Lineage: Eukaryota; Metazoa; Chordata; Lepidosauria; Squamata; Cordylidae
Exons: 3
Source: RefSeq, a predicted model, not a curated record